AUUGAACGCUGGCGGCAUGCUUUACACAUGCAAGUCGAACGGUAACAGGCCGCAAGGUGCUGACGAGUGGCGAACGGGUGAGUAAUGCAUCGGAACGUGCCCAGUCGUGGGGGAUAACUACUCGAAAGAGUAGCUAAUACCGCAUACGAUCUAUGGAUGAAAGCGGGGGACCGUAAGGCCUCGCGCGAUUGGAGCGGCCGAUGUCAGAUUAGGUAGUUGGUGGGGUAAAGGCUCACCAAGCCAACGAUCUGUAGCUGGUCUGAGAGGACGACCAGCCACACUGGGACUGAGACACGGCCCAGACUCCUACGGGAGGCAGCAGUGGGGAAUUUUGGACAAUGGGCGCAAGCCUGAUCCAGCAAUGCCGCGUGCAGGAAGAAGGCCUUCGGGUUGUAAACCGCUUUUGUACGGAACGAAACGGCUCUGGUUAAUACCCGGGGCUAAUGACGGUACCGUAAGAAUAAGCACCGGCUAACUACGUG
Molecule: ribosomal RNA, 482 nt
Filed under: uncultured bacterium
Lineage: Bacteria
Description: partial 16S ribosomal RNA
Rfam family: Bacterial small subunit ribosomal RNA
Source: RNAcentral